This 1338-nucleotide ribosomal RNA is filed under the name metagenome. RNAcentral's name for it is "bacterial LSU rRNA". It matches the Rfam family "Bacterial large subunit ribosomal RNA", at positions 1564 to 2910 of the family's 2925-position model. The record is from RNAcentral.
UGAGUACGAGCUGCUACGGCAGCGAAGUGGGUGAUGUCAAGCUUCCAAGAAAAGCCCUAUACCCGUUAAGGCAUGACGGCCUGUACCCGAAACCGACACAGGUGGGGUGGUAGAGAAUACCGAGGGGCGCGAGAUAACUCUCUCUAAGGAACUCAGCAAAAUGGCCCCGUAACUUCGGGAGAAGGGGUGCCACCGCAAGGUGGUCGCAGUGAAGAGGCCCAGGCGACUGUUUACCAAAAACACAGGUCUCCGCUAAGUCGCAAGACGAUGUAUGGGGGCUGACGCCUGCCCAGUGCCGGAAGGUUAAGGAAGCUGGUCAGCGCAAGCGAAGCUAGCGACUGAAGCCCCGGUGAACGGCGGCCGUAACUAUAACGGUCCUAAGGUAGCGAAAUUCCUUGUCGGGUAAGUUCCGACCCGCACGAAAGGCGUAACGAUCUGGGCGCUGUCUCGGAGAGAGGCUCGGCGAAAUAGAAUUGUCUGUGAAGAUGCGGACUACGUGCACCCGGACAGAAAGACCCUAUGAAGCUUUACUGUAGCUUGGUAUUGUGCCCGGGCUCUGAAUGCGCAGGAUAGGUGGGAGGCUUUGAUCCAUGGCUUGCGGGUCAUGGUGAGCCAACGGUGAGAUACCACUCUUUCAGAGCUAGGGUUCUAACAGCCACCCGUUAUCCGGGGGCUGGACAGUAUCAGGUGGGCAGUUUGACUGGGGCGGUCGCCUCCUAAAAGGUAACGGAGGCGCGCAAAGGUUUGCUCAGGCUGGUUGGAAAUCAGCCGACGAGUGCAAAAGCAGAAGCAAGCUUGACUGUGAGACCAACAAGUCGAACAGGGACGAAAGUCGGCUUUAGUGAUCCGACGGUUCUGAGUGGAAGGGCCGUCGCUCAACGGAUAAAAGUUACUCUAAGGAUAACAGGCUGAUCUCCCCCAAGAGUUCACAUCGACGGGGAGGUUUGGCACCUCGAUGUCGGCUCAUCGCAACCUGGGGCUGAAGUCGGUCCCAAGGGUUGGGCUGUUCGCCCAUUAAAGCGGUACGCGAGCUGGGUUCAGAACGUCGUGAGACAGUUCGGUCCAUAUCCGGUGCAUGCGUAAGAACAUUGAGAGGAGUUCUCCCUAGUACGAGAGGACCGGGAGGAACGCACCUCUGGUGUACCAGUUAUCGUGCCAACGGUAAACGCUGGGUAGCCAUGUGCGGAGAGGAUAACCGCUGAAAGCAUCUAAGUGGGAAGCCCACCUCAAGAUGAGUGUUCUCAUGGCUUAAGCCAGUAAGGUCACGGGAAGAACACCCGUUGAUAGGCUCUACGUGUAAGCGCAGCAAUGUGUGAAGCGGAGGAGUACUAAUAGACC